Molecule: ribosomal RNA, 375 nt
Filed under: uncultured bacterium
Lineage: Bacteria
Description: bacterial SSU rRNA
Rfam family: Bacterial small subunit ribosomal RNA
Source: RNAcentral
GAUGAACGCUAGCGGCAGGCUUAAUACAUGCAAGUCGUGGGGCAGCAGGAUGUAGCAAUACAUUGCUGGCGACCGGCAAACGGGUGCGUAACACGUACGCAACUUUCCUUUAAGCGGGGAAUAGCCCAGAGAAAUUUGGAUUAAUGCCCCAUAAAAUUUUGAGAUGGCAUCAUCUUAUUAUUAAAGCUUCGGCACUUAAAGAUGGGCGUGCGGCUGAUUAGGUAGNGGCGGGGUAACGGCCCACCAAGCCAGCGAUCAGUAGCUGAUGUGAGAGCAUGAUCAGCCACACGGGCACUGAGACACGGGCCCGACUCCUACGGGAGGCAGCAGUAAGGAAUAUUGGUCAAUGGACGAAAGUCUGAACCAGCCAUGCCG